GUCCCUGUAGCGCAAUGGAUAGCGCGUUGGACUUCUUAUCCAAAGGUCGUGGUUUCGAGUCCCACCUGAAAUG
RNAcentral lists this transfer RNA (73 nucleotides) under Trichonephila clavata. It matches the Rfam family "tRNA". From Rfam's summary of the family: Transfer RNA (tRNA) molecules are approximately 80 nucleotides in length. The record is from Rfam by way of RNAcentral. Lineage: Eukaryota; Metazoa; Arthropoda; Arachnida; Araneae; Nephilidae.